AGUCAUAUGCUUGUCUCAAAGAUUAAGCCAUGCAUGUCUCAGUACAAGCCGAAUUAAGGUGAAACCGCGAAAGGCUCAUUAAAUCAGUUAUGGUUCCUUAGAUCGUACCCACAUUUACUUGGAUAACUGUGGUAAUUCUAGAGCUAAUACAUGCAAACAGAGGUCCGACCGGAGACGGAAGGAUCGCUUUUAUUAGAUCAAAACCAAUCGGCGGCGUUCGCGCCGUCGUAACAAACUUGGCGAGACUGAAUAACUUACUGCUGAUCGCACGGUCCAGCACCGGCGACGCAUCUUUCAAAUGUCUGCCUUAUCAACUGUCGAUGGUAGGUUCUGCGCCUACCAUGGUUGUAACGGGUAACGGGGAAUCAGGGUUCGAUUCCGGAGAGGGAGCCUGAGAAACGGCUACCACAUCCAAGGAAGGCAGCAGGCGCGCAAAUUACCCACUCCCGGCACGGGGAGGUAGUGACGAAAAAUAACGAUACGGGACUCAUCCGAGGCCCCGUAAUCGGAAUGAGUACACUUUAAAUCAUUUAACGAUGAUCAAUUGGAGGGAAAGUCUGGUGCCAGCAGCCGCGGUAAUUCCAGCUCCAAUAGCGUAUAUUAAAGUUGUUGCGGUUAAAAAGCUCGUAGUCGAAUCUGUGUCCCGCGCCGCCGGUUCAUCGCUCGCGGUGUUUAACUGGCGUGUUCGCGGGACGUCCUGCCGGUGAGCUCCAGCCGGCGGCCGCACCUUUCGGGGGGCGCGCCGUCGGCGGCUCAACGUACACCUGUCGCGGUGCUCUUAACUGAGUGUCUCGGCGGGCCGGCACGUUUACUUUGAACAAAUUAAAGUGCUUAAAGCAGGCUAAAAUUUCGCCUGAAUACUGUGUGCAUGGAAUAAUAGAAUAGGACCUCGGUUCGAUUUUGUUGGUUUUCAGAACUCAGAGGUAAUGAUUAAUAGGAACGGAUGGGGGCAUUCGUAUUGCGACGUUAGAGGUGAAAUUCUUGGAUCGUCGCAAGACGGACAUAAGCGAAAGCAUUUGCCAAAAACGUUUUCAUUGAUCAAGAACGAAAGUUAGAGGUUCGAAGGCGAUCAGAUACCGCCCUAGUUCUAACCAUAAACGAUGCCAGCUAGCGAUCCGCCGACGUUCCUCCGAUGACUCGGCGGGCAGCUUCCGGGAAACCAAAGCUUUUGGGUUCCGGGGGAAGUAUGGUUGCAAAGCUGAAACUUAAAGGAAUUGACGGAAGGGCACCACCAGGAGUGGAGCCUGCGGCUUAAUUUGACUCAACACGGGAAACCUCACCAGGCCCGGACACCGGAAGGAUUGACAGAUUGAGAGCUCUUUCUUGAUUCGGUGGGUUGUGGUGCAUGGCCGUUCUUAGUUGGUGGAGCGAUUUGUCUGGUUAAUUCCGAUAACGAACGAGACUCUACCCUGCUAAAUAGGCGGCACUAGCUAUCUCAAAGGUCCGCUUGGCCCGGCGCCUCGUGCGUCGACGUUAAGCGCGAUUUUUACUAGCUGCGUUAAUUAAAUUCUUCUUAGAGGGACAAGCGGCUCUUAGCCGUACGAAAUAGAGCAAUAACAGGUCUGGAAUGCCCUUAGAUGUCCUGGGCCGCACGCGCGCUACACUGAAGGAAUCAGCGUGUCCUCCCUGACCGAAAGGUUCGGGUAACCCGCUGAACCUCCUUCGUGCUAGGGAUUGGGGCUUGCAAUUGUUCCCCAUGAACGAGGAAUUCCCAGUAAGCGCGAGUCAUAAGCUCGCGUUGAUUAAGUCCCUGCCCUUUGUACACACCGCCCGUCGCUACUACCGAUUGAAUGAUUUAGUGAGGUCUUCGGACCGGGACUCGGUGACGUUCGCGCGCCGGUGCACCUGGGAAGAUGACCAAACUUGAUUAUUUAGAGGAAGUAAAA
This 1886-nucleotide ribosomal RNA is filed under the name Stenus sp. BMNH668148. RNAcentral's name for it is "SSU rRNA". It matches the Rfam family "Eukaryotic small subunit ribosomal RNA". Lineage: Eukaryota; Metazoa; Arthropoda; Insecta; Coleoptera; Staphylinidae. The record is from RNAcentral.